This 59-nucleotide transfer RNA is filed under the name Saccharibacter floricola DSM 15669. It matches the Rfam family "tRNA", at positions 8 to 63 of the family's 71-position model. Rfam says of the family: Transfer RNA (tRNA) molecules are approximately 80 nucleotides in length. The record is from RNAcentral. Lineage: Bacteria; Pseudomonadati; Pseudomonadota; Alphaproteobacteria; Acetobacterales; Acetobacteraceae.
UAGCUCAACUGGAUAGAGCACCAGACUACGAAUCUGGGGGUUGGGGGUUCGAGUCCUCC